RNAcentral lists this long non-coding RNA (2864 nucleotides) under Sus scrofa (pig). Its description in RNAcentral is "lncRNA (ENSSSCG00035067048.1)". Lineage: Eukaryota; Metazoa; Chordata; Mammalia; Artiodactyla; Suidae. The record is from RNAcentral.
AGAUCAGGCUGGCCGUCUUAGCCCGGCAACCGCUUUUCAUCCCUUAACCACACAGGGUCCGUGCUGAGACGAGAUCCAGCAGUAUCGCCAGGGUUCCUCGUAGACGAUCAGGUUUCCAGACACUGCGUUUUCUUGGACCUCAUCUCUCGUCAGUUGCCACCACUGGCUGAGUGUAUAAUGGAACUUUGAAUCCGUUUGCUGUACUAAUGGGGAGUGCACGUGAGUGAUGGGACGGUCUCCCCAGAGGCCAUGCAUUUCUGCAUCUGAGAUUAUCUGAUCAAAGUAAAAAAUACCUGCAUGGUCACCCCUACUCCCUAUGAUCAAUUGUAGCUAAUGACACAUUUCAUGGCUUGUCUCCUGUCCUAAAUAUGGCAAUAAAUAACUGGACUAGGAACUGAUUUAAAAGUCUCUGGAAAAGCAUCAGCACAGAGUCCCUGUGAACUACUGUUUUAAGCCUCACGACAGAGGCUUUCUCUCAGUUUACUCCAUGCCCCUUAUGGUUUAAACAAUUGCAGUUGCUACCUCCUUGGAUCUUCAGCAAAUAUCCAUAAAUGCGGGAUUGUUAUCUGGUAAGAAAUUGAGAAUUAGAAGGAUAAAUCAGUUUGCUCAAAAUUGAGCAAGACUAGAAAUUCCUAUCGUGGCUCAGCAUGUUAAGAACCCGACAGAGUCUGCGUGAGGAUGGAGGUUUGAUCCCUGGACUUGCUCAGUGGGUUAAGGAUCCAGCAUUGCCUCGAGUAGCAGCAUAGGUCACAGAUGCGGCUCAAAUACCAUUUUGCUGUGUUUUACAAGAAUCACAGAGAGACAAUUUGGACUUGGAUAGAUCAUCCCACAACCUGUAGUGCUAUUUGGAAUGGGGAGGUCGAGAAUAGGAAAGCUCAGUGACCGCUGAGUGACACAUUUAUUUUUAGUUACAAGUGAAUUUUCAAUGGGCUUUUGAUAAUUGAAAUCCCUUGGGACAAAAACUGGAAGUAGAAAAAAGAAAUCUUCCAUUAUCUGAAAUGCUUUUUUUUUUCUUUUCUUUUCUUCCUUUCUUUUUUUUUUUUUUUUUUUUUUUCCUUUUUUUUUUUUUUUUUUUUUUUUUGUGGAUGACCUGUGGGCCACUUUUUUGGUGUGUCUGAAAAUAAGAGGGGGCUCUUCAUAGAGCUGAGAGUGCAGCAAUCAUAGCGGGCUGCCUGAAUAGAUGUACUAAACCUUCGGGGCUGGAACAAGACAGGAUGAUGACUGAGACGUGGUCUGCAAGCUUGGGAGGAUCACGUCCAUACAAGUUUAAGUGUACUUAUUUACGUAGAUAGAUACUGGCUAGAUCACAGAUUGAAUUAUACUGCACGGAUUUUUGUGACCCCUUUUGCAUAAACAUAUUUUAGGAAAUCAAUUUCAAUAGCCUCAGAGAGAAAUAAACCCAAGCCUGAAACAAAAGGAAAAGUUUCGUUGUGGAUAAAGUCAUAUUGAGAUUCCUAUUAUAAACCAAGAGGAGGUAUUGAGUAGAGAGGUGGAAGUUCUAGGAAGAGCAAAGAAUGGAAUUGGAAUAGCCCCAUGCAGACAAGGCCCAGGUAGAAGAGGGAAAGAUGGCAAUGCCAAGGUCUGCUACAACCCAGCCAUGAUUGUCGGCUGUAGUGCCGGAAGCACAGACAACAGAAGCAGAUAUAGACAAAGGGGAUUGCAUCAAACUGAAGAUGUUCUGCCCCGCGAUGGAAACAAUCAACAGAGUUAAAAGGCAGCCUAAUAAACAGAGAAAAAUCUUUGCAAAUUGUACGUCCGGUAAUGUAUGAGUAUCCAAAAUAUAAGAGGAAUCCCUAUACUUUAAUAUCAAAAAUCCAAAAUUAUCAGAUUAAAUAAUGGGCAAAGUACUUGAACAGACAUUUUCCUAAAAAGAUAUACGAGUAACUAAAGGUAUAUAAAAAAAUCAUCAACAUUGCUAAUCAUCAGGGAAAAGCAAAUCAAAACCCCAAUACAUCAUCACCUUAUAGCUAGAAUGGCUGUUAUCAAAGAGACAAAAGUUAACAAGUAAGAAUGUGUUUGUGCUUUGGUUUGUUUUUUUGAGUUCUCUAUUCUGGAGGGAGAACAUCAGAGUGGGAAAGGCAAGGUUGUCUAGUGUAGAUUUGUAUUGAUCUGUGGCUCUACCAAUUAUCUCUGCUAUGGCCUUGAGCGAGACAUUGAACUGCCUAGUUCCUCAUGUAUAAAAUGGGUACAUAGUAUCCACUCUGCAGGUAGGAUAAAAUGUACAUAAGGUAUAGAGGUCUAGAAUAAAUGUGGUGCUAGAUAAAAUGUAACUGAUAAAAGUUAUUGUUUAUUGAAUGCUUACUACGUGGCAGUUACUGUCUUAAUAAUUUACAAAUAUUUACUCUCUUAUUCUUCAUAACAACUCUCUCACAUGCAUACUGUUGUAAUUGCCAUUUUACAGAAGAAGAAAUCGAGAUUCAUAGAGGAAAUGCGACUUCCUUUUAACUAUACAGCUAAGGUGGUAAAAUUGGUUUUCAAACUCAGGCAGUCUUUCAAAGUCUUUGAAAUCUACCCAUACUGUUAAGUUCUAGCAUCUUUUUGGCUUCUAUCAGCUGUGCCUAUGCCUGCCUUGGUUUCAAAUUGCAGUAAUCUAAAAGUCAGCAAGAAGACAAAGAGAGGAAUUUGUGUUUAUUCUCAAGGAAAAAAAGACUUUUAAGAAUGCCAAUGUGUUUUUAUAAUGUAAGACAUUCAAUGAGAUGGGGUAUACUCAUAGUUUGAAAACUGCAAGUUUUAUUUUAAGUCGUGAAACAGAUGCAUUUAAAAUUUCAGACUUGGAAAAUGAAACUUUGAAGCAGGGAAAUUGUUCCUGUGUACAGCAAUGAAAAGGAAUCAGGGAGAGUUAAAUAAAGCCGUGAAAAAUUAAA